AUUUUUUACUGAUGAGAUGAACUAUUUACACAUGCCCAAUGACCUCCACAAAUGGAUGCGUUUACAAAGAGUCGGAAGCGAAACAACGCGAUCGGUUGAUUCAAUGACAGUUUAGGAAAACCAUGGAUUGCCCUCUCAUUAUUCUAAUUAAUUAAUUCUUAACAGUCCCAACACUAAUUAACAUGAGGAUGAGAGAUGUACUUGUGCUUUGGAUUUGAAUAAAGCAAAGAUGGAGGGAGGCUGCUGCGUCAACCACGUACAGGACAAGCAUUUAUCGAAUGGGAGUGCAUAGCUAGAGCGUGAGGAAUGACUGCCUAGUCAGUCUUUGGCUCAGCUACCCGUUGCAACUGCAGUAUAUAUAUCACUGGAAAUCUGGUUAACACUUUUCGUGUCCAAGUGAAGCUCCAAGUCAUCUGCAGGCUGUUCCUUUUGUGGUAAAGUUAGGUUGAUCUCAUGAACAAGCCCUUCAAUAGCAGCAGCGACUGAUCUUAUUCUCUUGACCUUGCUCUUCAUGAAGAACCUCCCUCCUUGGAGGGAUGUCUUGUUGCAGCAGGUCAGUAGGUUGAUCAAUGUCCAGUCCUCGGCAUGAUCUCAUGGCAAGGAAUUCGGCGAAUAUUCUUGCAGUUCCUUCAAUUUCUAGUUAAGUUCAUGACUGUAUAGUUAUGCGAACCCAUCCGCCGAUUCAUGCCAUAGUCAUGUCCAAGCAUUAGAGUAGGAGGGAGAUGUACGACGAAUCUAGAAGGAACAACGUGCAUGCCAUAAUUCUAGUUUUCCAUUGGUAAUUCCUGAUGCCUUCUAUGCCUAUAUUUAUCUAGUUAGAUCUCUAAUAUAUAUAUGAGUCACAACAAACAAUGCAUAGAACAGUAAAAGAUAC
This 874-nucleotide long non-coding RNA is filed under the name Hordeum vulgare. RNAcentral's name for it is "long non-coding RNA (HVUL_LNC011389)". Lineage: Eukaryota; Viridiplantae; Streptophyta; Magnoliopsida; Poales; Poaceae. The record is from RNAcentral.